Molecule: ribosomal RNA, 1233 nt
Filed under: Alburnus tarichi (tarek)
Lineage: Eukaryota; Metazoa; Chordata; Actinopteri; Cypriniformes; Leuciscidae
Description: partial large subunit ribosomal RNA
Rfam family: Bacterial large subunit ribosomal RNA
Source: RNAcentral
AGACCUUUAGUUUGAACCCCGAAACCAGGUGAGCUACCCCGAGACAGCCUAUAUUGAUUUAGGGCUAACCCGUCUCUGUGGCAAAAGAGUGGGAAGAGCUCCGGGUAGAAGUGACAGACCUACCGAACCUGGUGAUAGCUGGUUGCCUGAGAAGUGGAUAGAAGUUCAGCCUCGCACACCCCAAGCCAGAGAAUACACCGCUAAGGCACUCAGGGAAAUGUGGGAGAGUUAGUUAAAGGGGGUACAGCCCCUUUAACAAAGGAUACAACCUUUGCAGGAGGAUAAAGAUCAUAAUAUAUAAAACAUGCUGCUCUAGUGGGCCUAAAGGCAGCCACCUAAACAGAAAGCGUUAAAGCUCAGGCAGAAAGAAGUUUAUUAUACCGAUAAAAAAUCUUACUCCCCUAAUUGUAUCAGGCCAACCCAUGCCAACAUGGAAGAGAUUAUGCUAAAAUGAGUAACAAGAAGACCUGCUCUUCUCCCAGCACAAGUGUAAGCCAGAUCGGACUAACCACUGGAACUUAACGAACCCAACCCAAGAGGGUAGUGUGAAUAGUACAGACCCCAAGAAGAACUCACAACUAAACAAUCGUUAACCCCACACUGGAGUGCUAUUAUAAAGGAAAGACUAAAAGAGGGGGAAGGAACUCGGCAAACACAAGCCUCGCCUGUUUACCAAAAACAUCGCCUCCUGCAACUAUAUUGAGUAUAGGAGGUCCAGCCUGCCCAGUGACUACGGGUUCAACGGCCGCGGUAUUUUGACCGUGCAAAGGUAGCGCAAUCACUUGUCUCUUAAAUAGAGACCUGUAUGAAUGGCUAGACGAGGGCUUAACUGUCUCCCCCCUCCAGUCAGUGAAAUUGAUCUAUCCGUGCAGAAGCGGGUAUAAUUAUACAAGACGAGAAGACCCUUUGGAGCUUAAGGUACAAAAUCCAACCACGUUAAACGACCCCCUAAAGGGCAAGAACUUAGUGGCCAAUGAAGUUUUACCUUCGGUUGGGGCGACCACGGAGGAGAAAAAAGCCUCCGAGUGGACUGGGUUAAAACCCAAAGCUAAGAGAUACAUCUCUAAGCCGCAGAACAUCUGACCAAAAGUGAUCCGGCUAAAAAGCCGAUCAACGAACCAAGUUACCCUAGGGAUAACAGCGCAAUCCUCUCCCAGAGUCCAUAUCGACGAGGGGGUUUACGACCUCGAUGUUGGAUCAGGACAUCCUAAUGGUGCAGCCGCUAUUAAGGGU